UAAAAAUUAAAAAAAAAAAAAAGAGUAAUUUUAGGAGUAUAGAUUGCAGCAAAUCCAAAAGGGAAUUAUUUGGAAGGAAAAGAUUGUUGAUGGCUGAUGUUGUAAAAUUAUUUACUAGAUUUGUUUGGCUGAUUUCUGUUUAUAUGAUAAGUCACAGAAAUGUAUAUAUAUAUCUAUAGCUAUUGCACUCCUGAAGAAAAGAAGCUUAGUCAUAGAAGUUGUUGGCUAGAAAUAGGGAUCAAAAAUUAAAUUACGUUACCUGAU
This 264-nucleotide unclassified non-coding RNA is filed under the name Hevea brasiliensis (rubber tree). The record is from RNAcentral. Lineage: Eukaryota; Viridiplantae; Streptophyta; Magnoliopsida; Malpighiales; Euphorbiaceae.